AGCGGCGAACGGGUGAGUAACACGUGAGUAAUCUGCCCCUGGCUUCGGGAUAGCCACCGGAAACGGUGAUUAAUACCGGAUAUGACAUUCCCUCGCAUGGGGGUGUGUGGAAAGUUUUUCGGCCAGGGAUGUGCUCGCGGCCUAUCAGCUUGAUGGUGAGGUAAUGGCUCACCAUGGCUUCGACGGGUAGCCGGCCUGAGAGGGUGACCGGUCACACUGGGACUGAGACACGGCCCAGACUCCUACGGGAGGCAGCAGUGGGGAAUAUUGGACAAUGGGCGGAAGCCUGAUCCAGCAACGCCGCGUGAGGGAUGACGGCCUUCGGGUUGUAAACCUCUUUCAGUACCGACGAAGCGCAAGUGACGGUAGGUACAGAAGAAGCACCGGCCAACUACGUGCCAGCAGCCGCGGUAAUACGUAGGGUGCGAGCGUUGUCCGGAAUUAUUGGGCGUAAAGGGCUCGUAGGCGGUUUGUCGCGUCGGGAGUGAAAACGCCGUGCUUAACACGGCGCUUGCUUUCGAUACGGGCAGACUAGAGGUAUUCAGGGGAGAACGGAAUUCCUGGUGUAGCGGUGAAAUGCGCAGAUAUCAGGAGGAACACCGGUGGCGAAGGCGGUUCUC
This 620-nucleotide ribosomal RNA is filed under the name Nocardioides sp. I12A-00919. RNAcentral's name for it is "bacterial SSU rRNA". It matches the Rfam family "Bacterial small subunit ribosomal RNA", at positions 94 to 729 of the family's 1533-position model. The record is from RNAcentral. Lineage: Bacteria; Bacillati; Actinomycetota; Actinomycetes; Propionibacteriales; Nocardioidaceae.